AAAGGGAUGAAAAAUAAAAACAGAAUUUAAAGUCAGCUACCAUACUACUACUUGGUUCAAGGAGAGAAGACAAUCCUAAGAAACACAUAAGAAAACAUGAGCAGAUAACACAUGGCAGAGUUGUAAGUAGAGCCCAGUAAAGGAAGAAGUCAAGAGAAGAUGUUGACCUUGCCUCGAGGGAUUGAAGUUUGAAGCAGGUGGCCCAGAAUGUCCCUAAUGUCAAAGCAGCAACAGCAAAAAUUGUCAAAGACUAGGAAAAGUGGGCAUUGAGAAAAACAGCCAUGUCUGAUAGAGAACAGAAAAAGGCCCUGCCAAAUGUGUGCAUCAGCUGUUGUCCACAGCAAGUGCCAUAUCUCUAAAUUAACAAAGGAAUGGGUAAGGUGAGCCAGUCCUGUGUGAGGACAUUACUUCCCCAAAAGUCCCAACAUCUGCAUCCCUUCGGGAUUUCUGCAACUAUAUCCAUUAAUUAAAAAUACACAUGGUCCUUUGA
Mastomys coucha (southern multimammate mouse) is the source of this 490-nucleotide long non-coding RNA. RefSeq lists it as uncharacterized. Lineage: Eukaryota; Metazoa; Chordata; Mammalia; Rodentia; Muridae. The record is from RefSeq and is a predicted model, not a curated record. The transcript has 2 exons.